AUCCAAAAAGGGGUGAAAGAUGAGCAUGGAUGGAGCUUUUAGAGAAAUCUUCUGUUGCUAAGAUUUUGUGGAAACACAGCAAAUUGAGUUAGCUUUCUAAUGGAAGUGGUUUCAAGUCAUUUGAAGAUGUAAUGAAGGAGUUAUGACCAAUUUACUAGAGGCAUAUCCACCCUGUUCGAGCAUCCUGGAGCGAUCUCUCAGAGCGACCUACCGAGGUCGCUCCCAGCCAGAGCGACCAGUCCAGAGCGACUACCUCAAGUCAAUCCCAGCCAGAGCGACCAGCUCAAGUCACUCGCGUUUUGACGCAGCGAGACACGAAAAAAUGCGUCGGGAGCGACCUUCUGGAGCGACUAUGCUAGGUCACUCCGCGUGUUUUGCUUGGACGAUUUUUAUGUUAUUUCAGGGGCCUUUUGGUCAUUUGUUUUGAUGUUUUACACUUUCUAAACCUAAGUUAAGUACUUUUGUAAGCCAUUGGGGGCAAGAUAAUCUCUUUUCUAGAGGAGAACUAGUAAAAAACUUCUUUUGAUUCAGAUUUCAUUGCUUUCAUCUUGUGUUCUUGUUGAUUUCUUAUCUAUUUCUCUACAUGAUUAAUUUGAAAUCUCUAGGCUUAAGGUCGAUAGUUUGAUUGAUCAUUUGCCAUCCUUAAUUCAAUACUUGAUCACCCAAGGUCUAAUCCCUAUGCCCAUGAGUUCUCUUUUCCCUUAGUCAAGAAAGUAUCAUUCUGUUAUUGCUUUCUAGUAUAGUAGUAGUUUAAAACCCAUUUAAAUCAUUGGUUACACUUAGAUUAAGUGAGUACUUGCAUUGUCGGUGCUUUGAUAUCCCUCAGAACUGGUUCGACAAUCUUUUAUACUAUAUCAUUUGUCUUAGGAGUCUUGAAAACUCCUAACAUCAAAUUGGCGCCGUUGCCAAAUUCUGAGUAGAUUUAAACAUUGAGAUUUAGUCACUUGCUUGAGACUAAGUCAUUUUUAUUUUCUUUUGUUACUGAUUCUCUUUCUUCACCUCCCUUUAAUCUACAGGUGUAUGAACUUGAGGAGCAGGGGUCCAUCAAACCUAGUUCCAAUAGCUGCAGACAUCAGAGCUUUAGAGAGAGAGUGUGCUAGAAAUAGAAGAGAAGAAGAGCAACAGGCUCACUUGCAGAGAUUGAGUACUGAUAUGGGAGACAUACCUCAAAACCAACAGCGAGCAGCUCGACCCAUUGGCACUUACGACCGCCCCAACAUUCAUGGUCAUAGAUUGGGAAUCCGAGCACCCGCUGUGGCAGCCAACAACUUUGAGAUCAAAUCAGGACUCCUCAACGUGAUCGAGAACAACAAGUAUCAUGGCUUGGCUCUAGAGGAUCCAUUUGAUCACUUGGACAGGUUCGACAGCUACUGUGGGUUGUCAAAAACCAAUGGUGUGUCCGAAGAUGCCUUAAAGCUCAAGCUAUUCCCUUUCUCUUUGGGGGAUAAGGCACGUCAGUGGGAGAAGUCUCUACCCAGUGACUCCAUCACUACUUGGGAUGACUGCAAGAAAGCAUUCUUGGAGAAGUUCUUCUCUACUUCAAGAACUGCUAAGCUGAGAAACGAGAUUUCCAGCUUUCAACAGAAGAACUUGGAAGGCUUCAGUGAAGCCUGGGAGAGAUUCAAGGGCUACCAAGCUCAAUGCCCACACCAUGGCUUUUCUAAGGAGAGCUUGCUGAGCACAUUCUACCGUGGUGCUCUUCCUAAGUACAGAGCCAGACUGGAUACAGCUAGCAAUGGGUUCUUCUUGGGGAGAACUGAGGAGGAUGCAGAAGAGCUGGUUGACAACAUGGUAAAGAGUGAUGCAGUCUACAGUGGAGACCACGACAGAAGCAGUAGAACUGAGGAUAAGCAAACGAGGAAGGAGUUGAAAGCUCUACAGGAUAAGAUAGACAUCCUCCUUGCUGAUAAAGCUACCCAAGAGCAGCUGCACUUUGUCGGCAACCCAAGCCAAGAGACACCAGCUAUUGUCCAUGAAGUUGAGGGUUUGGAAGGUCAGGAAGAGCUGUGUUUCAUCAACAACAAUGGUAGCUGGUACAAGAAAGAACCCAACUUUCAGUACAACAACUACCAACAGAAGUCCUAUUCCAACAACCAGCAGAGUGGCUAUCCGCCAAGAAACAACCAGCAAGGCAGCUAUCAGCCUCAGCAAAACCCCUCGUCUGGUUCCUCUGCUCCUCAAGAGAGCAGCACUGAUACCUUACUGAAACAAAUCUUGGAGUCUCAGACUAGAAGUGAGAAGCAUGUUGGUUAUGAGUUGAAGAACCUUCAUUCCAAGAUUGAUGGGAGCUACAAUGAGCUCAACAACAAGUUCUCACACCUUGCUUCUACAGUCAAGAAUUUAGAGAAUCAGUUUGCUUCCAUGAACACUCACCAGAAUCGCCAGCAAGGAUCUCUACCUGGAAAAUCUGACCAAAAUCCCAAGGAGGCCAAAGCUAUCACCUUUACGAGUGGUAAACAGUUACCUCCUAGAACCCUCACCAAGGAUGCUUAGAAACUAGGUGAAGAGGUGGCCAUCAACUUAGAUGAUGAUGUGGUAAUUGUUGAUGAGAAGACCAAUGAUGAGAUUUUGGAGAAGGUUAUGGAAGCUAAAGGUAAAGAAAGGUUGGAGAGAGAAGAAAAUAAUACAAGAUGGUGAAGUUGCUGUUCCAACAAGUGAGAAUGUUUUUGUUCCUCCUCCCUAUGAACCCAAGCUUCCAUUCUCAGGUAGAUUCAAGAGGCAUCUGCUAGAAAAAUAUAAGGCUCUGUUUGAGAAGCAAAUGAGUGAAGCUCAGGUUGCAAUGCCCAUCAUUGAUGCUUUCAUGUUGAUUCCUCAAUACAGUAAGUUCCUGAAAGAUAUUGUAGCUGCAAAGAAGAAGGAGAUGGAAGGCAUGAUGAUUCUUACCCAUGAGUGCAGUGCCAUCAUCCAGAGGCUUGAUGUUCCAGAGAAGUUAGAGGAUCCAGGAUGCUUCACACUACCUUGUGCUCUUGGACCUAUGGUAUUUGAGAAAUGUCUCUGCGAUUUGGGAGCUAGUGUCAGCUUGAUGCCUUUGUCUGUUGCAAAGAAGCUUGGAUUCACUCAGUACAAGAAGUGUAGACUCUCUCUGGUGUUAGCUGAUCGUUCAGUGAAGUACCCUGUGGGCAUCUUAGAGGACCUCCCUGUGAAGAUUGGAAGGUAUGAGAUACCUACAGAUUUUGUGGUGCUUGAGAUGGGUGAGGAGGCUCAAGACCCAUUGAUUCUAGGAAGGCCAUUCUUAGCUACAGCAGGAGCUAUUGUUAAUGUGAAGGAAGGCACGAUUGAUCUCCAUUUGGGUAAAGAGAACAUCCUCCACUUUGACAUCAAGAGGAAAAUGAGGAAACCAACUGUGUUCGGGCAAGCCUUCUACAUUGAAGAGAUGGACACUCCUGCUGAUGAGCACCUUGAAGAGUUACCACCUGAGGACGACGAGGAGGGAGCAUCUCCCUCUACUCAUUCCCCAUAGAAGGUAACCCACCACACUCCCUUGUAUAUACCAUUUCAUUUUUGCAUAUUAGUCUUCUUUUCGGUAUCUCUCUCUACUUGACAACACAGAGACUGUGUAACUCAAGUUUGGGGGAGGUACCAAGUAUUUGAUCAUGUUUGCUUUGAUGUUGUUUCAUUGAGUCAUGCAUUGCAUACCUAUUUGCAUAAAAAAAAAAAAAAUAAAUCAUUUAGUUUGCAUCAUUUGCAUUUCUAGGAGAGUCUAGAGCAUAUAGGUUGCAUUCACUUGCAUUGGGAGCAAUGAUUUUAAAUGCCUUGUAAAGAACACUACGUUGCACCUGAGUAGCUUUUGCACCUCUCAAAAAGACUUGUAUGUUUCGAGCCUUGAAAACUCUUCCUGAAACUUGUUGAUUGCUGAAACUCAGUCUUUGAAGCCAACUACAACCUUAUUUGAACUGAACGAACUUAAUGCUUCUUGCUCAUGGUCCCUUGUGUACUGAGUCAUGGCUAUACACACUUGAGUUGUCACAUCUUUUAUGCCAAUCUUAUUUUGACAAACUCUAGUGGUAGACCACUCCCAAAACCUUUCCCUCCUUUUAAGCUUUCAUUGUUUGAUGAGUGAGGCCUUCUUCGGAAAGUCUUACAUGUGCAUAAUGUUGAGAGUAUCGGGAACGACAAUGCUUGAUCUUCAUUCUUGCUAGAUUGGGCACUCUAUUGUCUAGCUAUAGGUGGGGGGUGAGAGUUGUGAUUAUGAUUUGGGAGCAAUGAAAAAGGAAAAGAAAUGACUCUUUGUGUUUAAGUGAAUUGUCUUAUUGGGAUAAGUAGAAAAACCUCUAGCUCAAGUUAUGAAAAGUCUUGGCCCCCAUCUAAAAAAAAAAAAAAAAAAAAAAUAAUAAAAUAUAAAAAGAAAAGAAGAAGAAAGAAAAAGGGGGCUAGCAAAGUUGUUAGGAGCUAAGUAAUGUUUUGAGGUUGUGAAAAAUCCCUUGUAGAUUUCAAAGAGAAGGAGUUAAUGUUCUUAGGAUCUUUUGGUGAGAGAUGUGAGUUGGGUUUGACAUUUGGGAAUGAUUGUGUAAUUGUAUGUUUGGGAAAAGGGUAGAACAAUGGAGAUUGAGCAUUGUAUGCAUGAGUUGAUCCUUUUCUUAGAUAUAUUAUGUCCAAUGUUAAGUCUACUUGUUUCGAGAGUAAACCACCUUAAAGAUCAUAUGUUUUGAACCUCUUGAAUCACUUGAAUAAAAGCCUUCACUUACUCCAACCAAAUGACUUGGACCAACUGACCAUUUGCAAGAAUUCACCUGAUGUUUUGUGCUUAAUGAAUGUGAGAGUUGGUUGAUUUGAAUGUGUGGAUGCUUGAUGAUGAGUGUAAGAACAAAAAGAGUUAAGAUAGGCCUAGAGAAGCUAGAGUGUAAUAAGAGAGUGUGCUAAUUGUGUUUGCUAGUUGUGUUUCUUUUGGUUAUGAGCUCCCACCUUCAAACUUCUCUUCCUAUGAGUUUUAGAAAGUUCACUUGUGGACAAGUAAAAGAACAAGUUUGGGGGAGUUGAUAUCUUGCAUAUUUGCAUUGUUUUAUCCAUUCAUCCAUGAGCAUUUUCAUCAUAUAGAUUAUGAUUUAGCCAUGUCUAGGUUGCAUUUUGCAUUCAUUGUCCUUAUUAGGUGCUGGAGUGUGCCAUGGAGUGAUUUGAGAUGUUUGGGAGCAUUGUGAUCCAAAAUGGGGUGAAAGAUGAGCAUGGAUGGAGCCUUUAGAGAAAUCUUCUGUUGUUAAGAUUUUGUGGAGACACAGAAAAUUGAGUUAGCUAUCUAAUGGAAAUGGUUUCAAGUCAUUUGAAGAUGUAAUGAAGGCGUUAUGACCAAUUUACUAGAGGCAUAUCCACCCUGUUCGAGCAUCCUGGAGCGAUCUCUCUGAGCGACCUACCGAGGUCGCUCCCAGCCAGAGCGACCAGUCCAGAGCGACUACCUCAAGUCACUCCCAGCCAGAGCGACCAGCCAGAGCGACCAGCUCAAGUCACUCGCG
Molecule: long non-coding RNA, 5444 nt
Filed under: Brassica napus (rape)
Lineage: Eukaryota; Viridiplantae; Streptophyta; Magnoliopsida; Brassicales; Brassicaceae
Description: long non-coding RNA (BNAP_LNC000332)
Source: RNAcentral